Molecule: ribosomal RNA, 253 nt
Filed under: uncultured bacterium
Lineage: Bacteria
Description: partial 16S ribosomal RNA
Rfam family: Bacterial small subunit ribosomal RNA
Source: RNAcentral
UACGGAGGGUGCGAGCGUUGUCCGGAAUCACUGGGCGUAAAGGGCGCGUAGGUGGCCCGUUAAGUGGCUGGUGAAAUCCCGCGGCUCAACUGCGGGGCUGCCGGUCAUACUGGCGAGCUAGAGCACGGUAGGGGCAGAUGGAAUUCCCGGUGUAGCGGUGGAAUGCGUAGAGAUCGGGAAGAAUACCAGUGGCGAAGGCGUUCUGCUGGGCCGUUGCUGGCACUGAGGCGCGACAGCGUGGGGAGCAAACAGG